This 249-nucleotide ribosomal RNA is filed under the name uncultured Lactobacillus sp. RNAcentral's name for it is "partial 16S ribosomal RNA". It matches the Rfam family "Bacterial small subunit ribosomal RNA", at positions 114 to 355 of the family's 1533-position model. Lineage: Bacteria; Bacillati; Bacillota; Bacilli; Lactobacillales; Lactobacillaceae. The record is from RNAcentral.
CACGUGGGGAACCUGCCCCAUAGUCUGGGAUACCACUUGGAAACAGGUGCUAAUACCGGAUAAGAAAGCGGAUCGCAUGAUCAGCUUUUAAAAGGCGGCGUAAGCUGUCGCUAUGGGAUGGCCCCGCGGUGCAUUAGCUAGUUGGUAAGGUAAAGGCUUACCAAGGCGAUGAUGCAUAGCCGAGUUGAGAGGCUGAUCGGCCACAUUGGGACUGAGACACGGCCCAAACUCCUACGGGAGGCAGCAGCC